This 497-nucleotide ribosomal RNA is filed under the name uncultured bacterium. RNAcentral's name for it is "partial 16S ribosomal RNA". It matches the Rfam family "Bacterial small subunit ribosomal RNA", at positions 28 to 507 of the family's 1533-position model. The record is from RNAcentral.
GAUGAACGCUGGCGGCGUGCCUAAUACAUGCAAGUCGAGCGAACGGACGAGAAACUUGCUUCUCUGAUGUUAGCGGCGGACGGGUGAGUAACACGUGGAUAACCUACCUAUAAGACUGGGAUAAAUUCGGGAAACCGGAGCUAAUACCGGGUGAUAUUUUGAACCGCAUGGUUCAAAAGUGAAAGACGGUCUUGCUGUCACUUAUAGAUGGAUCCGCGCUGCAUUAGCUAGUUGGUAAGGUAACGGCUUACCAAGGCAACGAUGCAUAGCCGACCUGAGAGGGUGAUCGGCCACACUGGAACUGAGACACGGUCCAGACUCCUACGGGAGGCAGCAGUAGGGAAUCUUCCGCAAUGGGCGAAAGCCUGACGGAGCAACGCCGCGUGAGUGAUGAAGGUCUUCGGAUCGUAAAACUCUGUUAUUAGGGAAGAACAUAUGUGUAAGUAACUGUGCACAUCUUGACGGUACCUAAUCAGAAAGCCACGGCUAACUACGUG